RNAcentral lists this long non-coding RNA (589 nucleotides) under Homo sapiens (human). RNAcentral's name for it is "HSALNT0393301". Lineage: Eukaryota; Metazoa; Chordata; Mammalia; Primates; Hominidae. The record is from RNAcentral.
UGAUCUGUCCGCCUCAACUUCCCAAAGUGCUGGGAUUACAGGCAGGAGCCACCGCGCCCGGCAUACUCGCACAUUCUUAAGUCCCUACUCUUUCCUGGCAUUCCUCCCUUACCUAGAAUGGGUUUCUCAUCACCAAAAGCAUCCUACCCACUGUUCAAGGUCAAAUUCAAAUGUCAACUCCUGGGUGUCCCCAGCCAGAAAUGAUUCCCUUCUCAUUUGUUCUUCUAAGAUAACUAUUUUCUUGCCAUUUAAUUAUUCUUCACUCAGUAAACAUCUAUUGAGCACCAAAUAUGUGCCAGGUUCACUUAUCCAUCCUCUCACUCCGUAUGCUAUUUUUUUUUCUUCUUUUUUUUUUUGAGACAGAGUUUCUUUUUUGUUGCCCAGCCUUGAGUGCAAUGGUGCAAUCUCGGCUCACUGCAACUUCUGCCUCCCGGAUUCAAGCGAUUCUCUCGUCUUAGCCUCCCGAGUAGCUGGGACUACAGGCACGUGCCACCAUGCCUGGCUAAUUUUUGUAUUUUUAGUAGAGACAGGGUUUCACCAUGUUGGCCAGGCUGGUCUCAAGCUCCUGACCUCAGGUGAUUCACCUACC